This 301-nucleotide ribosomal RNA is filed under the name uncultured bacterium. Its description in RNAcentral is "partial 16S ribosomal RNA". It matches the Rfam family "Bacterial small subunit ribosomal RNA", at positions 509 to 807 of the family's 1533-position model. The record is from RNAcentral.
CAGCAGCCGCGGUAAUACGAAGGGGGCUAGCGUUGCUCGGAAUCACUGGGCGUAAAGGGUGCGUAGGCGGGUCUUUAAGUCAGGGGUGAAAUCCUGGAGCUCAACUCCAGAACUGCCUUUGAUACUGAAGAUCUUGAGUUCGGGAGAGGUGAGUGGAACUGCGAGUGUAGAGGUGAAAUUCGUAGAUAUUCGCAAGAACACCAGUGGCGAAGGCGGCUCACUGGACCGACACUGACGCUGAGGCGCGAAAGCGUGGGGAGCAAACAGGAUUAGAUACCCGAGUAGUCCCUGUCUCUUAUAC